Molecule: transfer RNA, 61 nt
Filed under: Humidesulfovibrio mexicanus
Lineage: Bacteria; Pseudomonadati; Thermodesulfobacteriota; Desulfovibrionia; Desulfovibrionales; Desulfovibrionaceae
Description: Desulfovibrio mexicanus tRNA
Rfam family: tRNA
About the family: Transfer RNA (tRNA) molecules are approximately 80 nucleotides in length. Their secondary structure includes four short double-helical elements and three loops (D, anti-codon, and T loops). Further hydrogen bonds mediate the characteristic L-shaped molecular structure. tRNAs have two regions of fundamental functional importance: the anti-codon, which is responsible for specific mRNA codon recognition, and the 3' end, to which the tRNAs corresponding amino acid is attached (by aminoacyl-tRNA synthetases). tRNAs cope with the degeneracy of the genetic code in two manners: having more than one tRNA (with a specific anti-codon) for a particular amino acid; and 'wobble' base-pairing, i.e. permitting non-standard base-pairing at the 3rd anti-codon position.
Source: Rfam by way of RNAcentral
GGCGCGGAAGGUGUUCGGGCUUAUGGCCCGAAGGUCGUAGGUUCAAAUCCUGCCCCCGCUA